AUUGAACGCUGGCGGCAGGCCUAACACAUGCAAGUCGAACGAGUGGCGGACGGGUAAGUAAUGUCUGGGAAACUGCCUGAUGGGGGGGGAUAACUACUGGAAACGGUAGCUAAUACCGCAUACCAUCAGAUGUGCCCAGAUGGGAUUAGCUAGUAGGUGUGGUACCGUCUCACCUAGGCGACGAUCCCUAUCUGGGCGGAGAGGAUGACCAGCAACACUGGCACGGCGACACGGUCCAGACUCCUCCGGUAGGCAGCAGUGGGGAAUAUUGCACAAUGGGCGCAAGCCUGAUGCAGCCAUGCCGCUUGUGUGAAGAAGGCCUUCGGGUUGUAAAGCACGUUCAGCGGGGAGGCGUUACCCGCAGAAGAAGCACCGGCUAACUCCGUGCCAGCAGCCGCGGUAAUUC
RNAcentral lists this ribosomal RNA (406 nucleotides) under uncultured bacterium. RNAcentral describes it as "partial 16S ribosomal RNA". It matches the Rfam family "Bacterial small subunit ribosomal RNA", at positions 30 to 526 of the family's 1533-position model. The record is from RNAcentral.